RNAcentral lists this long non-coding RNA (5532 nucleotides) under Zostera marina. RNAcentral's name for it is "long non-coding RNA (ZMAR_LNC002456)". Lineage: Eukaryota; Viridiplantae; Streptophyta; Magnoliopsida; Alismatales; Zosteraceae. The record is from RNAcentral.
AGGGUUUAACUAAAACAUUAAAUAGUCAAAGAAAGAAUGGGCUGGGAUUUAUUAAGCCCAUAACGUAAAUACUUAUUUAUUCCAUUGCAAAGUCUUUGAAAUGUCCUGGUAGCUUCGUAGGUCUUUUUCCCAAAUCAAGAAACUUGUUACUUCCCACAGGUGCCUUCGUAGUAGAUUCUCCAGAUGUGCCUCCAAUGUUGCCAGCCUCGUUCAUGUUCUCUGACGCGUCCUCCCAGCCUGCAUCGUCGUCAUCAGGUAACUCACUCUCCGAUAUCUCAUCUUCCCCAUCCGAUGUUCGUUCUUUGAGUUCUACAUCUUGUAAGAGUAGAUCCCUUUGUAACAGGACUCUAUCAUCUCCUUCUUCCAUCAAACCAACCUUGUCCUCAAGUUUAAUUGAUGGAAACGCUGCUGAUAGUUUCUCCAGACGCUCCCAAGUUGUCUCCUCCGGUGGUAGUCCUUCCCAUUGAACUAGUAGCUCGAUGUAGUGUAUUUCUUUAUCAAUCACUGUCCUUUUCCCCAAUAUCGCCAACGGAAUAGUCACGAUCUCGUUCCUGUAAGUAACAUCUGGCAUAUUUUGUUUUAACAUUUCUGGAUUUGUACCUUUGAAUUUUUUCAGCUUUGAUAUGUGAAAAAUUGGGUGGAUUUUGCUAGUUUUUGGUAGUUCUAACUGGUAUGCUACUUUGCUGAUUGCUUUGGUGACCUUGAAUGGACCGAAGUAACGAGCUGAUAAUUUCGGAUGAAACCUGAAUUCCACGGAAUAUUGCCUGUAGGGUUGCAGCCGCACCAUCACCCAAUCUCCCUCGGUAAGAAUUGUUUCUCUUCUGGAUUUAUCCGCCAUAUCUUUCAUAUAUUGUUGGGAUUUCUUUAAGCUUGCUUUCACAGAUUUAAUAAUCUCUUCUCUUCUAUUUAAUUCUGUUUGUACUGCUUCUACUGCUGAAGAUUUACCCACGAAUGACGGUAUAAUAGGCGCUUCUCUUCCGUAUAAAGCCAUGAAUGGAGACAUCCCGAUCGACACAUUGAAAGUGGAAUUCAACCAUAAUUCUGCCCAAGGUAUUGCCUCAAUCCAUCUUUUAGGAUUUUCGUACGUAAGAGAUCUUAAGAAUAUUUCUAUUCCCCGGUUAACUACUUCCGUUUGGCCAUCUGUUUGUGGAUGAUAAGCGGUUGAUAGUUUUAGGGUUGUACCACUAAGUUUAUGAACCUCUCUCCAAAAUCUUCCGGUAAAUACCCUAUCACGAUCCGAGACGAUCGAUUGUGGUAUUCCAUGUAGUUUAACUAUUGUUUGAGUGAAUGCUUGAGCAACACUAGUAGCCGAGUAAUCUGUGGUUAAAGCCGUCAAGUGACAAAAUUUUGAGAGACGGUCUACCACGACCAUAAUAACUGUUUUCCCCUUUACUUUAGGAAGCCCAGUCACAAAAUCCAUACUGAUAUCUUGCCAAACCGCUUCAGGAAUUGGUAAUGGCAUCAAUAAACCUUGUUGUUUCAUAGGAGGUAUUUUCAUCCUUUGACAAGUCACACAUUCUUCAACAAAUUUUUUUAUAUCUUUUCUCAUACUUUUCCAAAAGAAAACUCCUCUAAUCCUCUUUUCAGUUCUUUCACUACCCGAGUGACCGCCCAAUUUAGAAGCAUGGAAUUCAUUCAUAAUCAACUUAAUUAAUUCUGACUCUUUAUCCACAAAUAGUCUGCCUUUGAAAUAAAUAAGACCCAAUAUAUUUUCAUAAUUAACAUAGUUAGGAUCACCUUCUCGCAGUUUAUUUGCAAUAUUCAGAUAAGAUUCCUUUGUUUCAUUCUCUUUUUUCAAUUUCUCUUUAAGAUCACUGAUGUAAACUGUUAAUGCUAAAAAUUCACAUCCUUUUCCAGGAAACUCCUCAUCAAUUUGAACCCGAGAUAAGGCAUCUGCUACCUUAUUCUCACUUCCUGGUUUGUAUUCAAUUGCAUAGUCAAAACCCAAUAAUUUGAACAGGAACUUUUGUUGGUCCGGGGUCUGAAUUACCUGAGAUAAUAAGUUUUUCAGACUUUUGUGAUCCGUCUUAAUGAUAAAUCUUCUUCCCAAAAUAUAAUGGCACCAUUUGCCGACAGCCUGCGUUAUUGCGUACAUUUCCUUAGCAUAAGUAGAUGCUUUGGACAUUCUCCCAGAUAACUUACUGCUAUAGAAAGCUAUAGGAUGAUUCUCUUGCAUUAGAACCGCUCCGAUCCCAGUUUCACAUGCAUCCGUUUCAAUCACAAAUGUUUUAUUGAAAUUUGGAUAAGCCAACACUGGAGCCUUCAACAUUUCUUUUUUUAAAUUCACAAAGGCAGUGGUAACCUCUUCCGACCAUACAAACUUAUCUUUUCUUAGUAAAUCCGACAAGGGUGCUGCCAAUUUCGCAUAGCCUUUAAUAAAUUUUCUGUAGUACCCUGUAAGUCCCAGAAAUCCUCUCAAAUCUUUAAUAGUCUUAGGUAAAGGCCAACGAACCAUAGCUUCCAACUUUUCUGGAUCUGCUCUAACUCCAUUAGCAGAAAUUACAUGACCCAAAAAAUAUACUGUAGUCCUCUCAAAAGCACAUUUUGAAAUUUUUACUGCCAAUCUGUUUUUUCUUAAUAAUGAAAAAACAAUUCCUAAGUGUUGCUUGUGCUCUUCCAUAGAUUUACUAUAAAUCAAUAUAUCAUCAAAGAAAACCAAAAUAAACUUACGAAGAUAUUCGUGAAAAAUCGAAUUCAUAGUCGCUUGAAACGUAGCUGGUACAUUAGUUAGCCCAAAGGGCAUAACUAAGAACUCAAAGUGUCCAUGAUGGGUUCUAAAUGCCGAUUUAGGAAUAUCUGGUGGAUGAAUUCUGAUUUGAUGAUAUCCAGAGCGCAAGUCUAAUUUAGAGAAUACCAUUGUACCAUCUAGCUCACCCAAUAUCUCAUCGGUUGUUGGGAUUGGGAACCGAUCUUUAAUAGUUAUAGAGUUUAGAGCUCGGUAAUCCACACAAAGUCUCCAUCCGCCAUCUUUCUUUUUAAUUAAAAUUACGGGAGAAGAAUACGGGCUGUUACUAUUCCUGAUGAAUCCUUGGGAUAAUAAUUGUUUGAUUAGAUUCUCCAUCUCCAUCUUCUGAUAUUGAGGAUAACGAUACGGUCGCACAUUUACCGGUUUCUCAUUAGGCAGAAUAUGUAUAUGGUGAUCUUGGGAACGCUCUGGUGGAAGUUCUGUUGGUUCUUCAAAAAUAUCUCUGAAUUCUUCCAAUAACGUUUUGGUUGACUCAGAAAUAUUAUUAUCAUCUUCAAUUGAUAUUCCCUUAUCCUUCAAAUUAUUGAUCUCAAAUCUGCAUAAAUAAGCUUGUUUUGCACCUCCCACCAGAUUUCUAAGUUCUCUAGAAGAUAUUGUUUCUUCUUCAAUACUUGAUUCUCCUUUCCAGAUAGUUAAAUUAUUGUUGAAAACGAAUUCCAUAGACAUUUCAUUCCAGUCUGUCAUUAUUCUGCCAACUGACUUCAUCCAUUGCACACCCAAUAUCAAAUUAGCUCCUUCCAACUUUAGCAUAUAUAAAUCAGUCGUGAUCUUAGAACCUUGUAUUGCUAUUGUUACGUUUUUACACAUCCUCGAGCAUUUCAAGUCUUCACCACUACCCGUACCCACAGUAAAUUCAGAAAUUGGAGACACUGGUAAUUUUAGUUUCUUAGCAAUUUCUGUUUGAAUAAAAUUGUGGGAGGAUCCGGAAUCUAUUAGGACUGAUAUUUUCCGACCAUUCAAUACACCGUUCAGACGAAUAGUUUCAGGAUUAGAAUCACCAUUAAAUGCAUAAUAGCUGAUUUUUGAUAUCUCUGUAGUCUGAAUAUUAUCCAUUGCAUCUUUAAAUUCUUCGCCAUCCUCAUGAGAGUCUUCUUCAUUCAUUUCAGUCAGCACAUCUCCUUCUGCAGAUAAUCUAAAUAACCUUCCUUUGCAACGAUGUCCCCGAAUCCAUUUUUCGUCACAGUUAUAACAAAGUCCUUUUUCUCUUCUUGCUUUCAUUUCGAUCGGUGUCAAUUUAUUUUUUAUCACAGUCUCUUUGUUAUAUCCUGCAUCCCCAAUCCUUUUGUGUGGUGGAACAUAAUUAUUACGUUGCCCUUCCCACAAAACUAUUUGUUUAUUAUUAGAAUAAACUGUUUCUUGUACCUCGCAUACCUUUGCUAAAGCAAACGCUUCCGAUAUCCCUUCUGGUCUUGCCUUUACUAACUCUUUUUGGAUCUCUGGUUUUAAGCCAGUGAUAUACAUUUGCCGCUUUGUCUCUUCAGAAACUCCUCUUACUUUAGUUGCUAAGGCUUCAAAUUUAUUUUGAUAAUCCUUUACAGACGUUGUUUGUACUAGCCUUCCCAAACGUCCUGUCGGUAGGUCAUAAGGACUGUUGCCAAACCUUUUCUGUAUAUCAUCUAAAAAAUCAGACCACGAUUGUAAAUUACCUUCGGCCUCCAUCCAAACCAUCCAGUCCAAUGCUUCAUCUUCCAUGUUCAUAGUUGCCUGAAUUAUUCUUUCCUCAUCCGGAGUACCAUGAUACCGAAAAUACUUCUUUACUUGAUAUAUCCAACCUUCCACAUUUUUACCGUUAAAUUUUGGCAUCUUUGUUUGCAGAUUUCUUUUGACGAUCUCACGGCUUCCUUGAUUAUUUGACGAUGAAGAACCUUCGUUUACAUAUUUGGCGAGAUCUGAAACUGUAGCUCCCAACUUGGCUACCAUAUCAUUUAUUUGAAAAAAUGCUUGUUUAUUCUCUAAUGCUUCCGCAUCUUGCUUCUCUUGUAAUUUUUUUAACAAAUCUUCCAUUGCUGUAAUUUCCUGUAUUAAAACUGAUUUUAGUUUCAAAUCAAAAUACGAGACAAGUCGAGAAUACGUCCCUUAUUUAGAUCUAGGUAUAGAGCUAGAUCAACUCUUGGAUUUUUUUUUGAAUUAAUUUAAGUCGUUCCCGACUAUGCAGAUUUAAAUCUUGUUAAUCAAAUACUUUCACUCUAACACAAAUAAUAGAAAUACUAAAAUAGAUACGUCCCUGUUGUGGAUCUAGUAUAGAUCUAGAUCAGAUCUUGGAAUGCGUUUUUGAACUGAUUAACGUCGUUCCCGACGGUCUUCUGAAGAUCUUCGGAAGAGUUCGGUUGAAAGUACCAAUGAUAGAUGAUGAAGCGAAUGUUGAGAACAAACACCAACUAUCUCACGAAAACAGCAAUUUAUUCAACAAAAUCGAGAAAAAACUUCCAAGAUGAACCGUGUCCACUUGUUUAGGGAAGCCGUAGCUUAGUUUUUGAAUCAAGAUAAUCUCAUUUAGGGUUUAACUAAAACAUUAAAUAGUCAAAGAAAGAAUGGGCUGGGAUUUAUUAAGCCCAUAACGUAAAUACUUAUUUAUUCCAUUGCAAAGUCUUUGAAAUGACCUGGUAGCUUCGUAGGUCUUUUUCCCAAAUCAAGAAACUUGUUACUUCCCACAGGUGCCUUCGUAGUAGAUUCUCCAGAUGUGCCUCCAAUGUUGCCAGCCUCGUUCAUGUUCUCUGACGCGUCCUCCCAGCCUGCAUCGUCGUCAUCAGGUAACUCACUCUCCGAUAUCUCAUCUUCCCCAUCCG